This 1053-nucleotide long non-coding RNA is filed under the name Ananas comosus (pineapple). RNAcentral's name for it is "long non-coding RNA (ACOM_LNC007083)". The record is from RNAcentral. Lineage: Eukaryota; Viridiplantae; Streptophyta; Magnoliopsida; Poales; Bromeliaceae.
CAGCCAUUGCUCCUGCUGCUGCGACAAGCCACUACUUGUUGUUGCUGUCAGCAGAGUAGGUGUUACGAUAUAUUUUAUCUAUAUUAGGAUGUUAUGAUAUAUUAGGAUAUUGUAUAUUAUUGCCUUAUAUAGAGUAGUAUCAUUGCCUUCUAUAGAGUAGGAUUAUAUAGUAUGUAAUCCUAGUUAUACUCUUACUAUAGUAGUCAUUGUUACUAUAGUAAGACAAUCUCUUGUACUAUAUAUAUUCAUUAAUACAACUAAAGAGGGUAUGCACUUUAGCCCUUCUUUCAUGGUAUCAGAGCGGGAACCCUAAUGUGGGAAUAUCGAUCCAUAGCCACCAUCUACCAUUAAUCUCACGUUUUUCUAUAGGUGUUUUUUUUUUUGGUUUUCUAUCUUCCCAGUACUGCUACAGUACUGCUACAAUAUUAUUGCUACAGUACUGGCGCUACAGUACCGGCGCUACAGUAUUUCUGCUACAGUAUUUUCAGACUCUCUGUGAUUCCUCUUUGCUCCUCUGGUGCCGCUCGGAUUGUCCUACUGUUGGUUGCUCGUAUCGCUCGGUUCUUUCCUUGGUGCGGUCGAUCUUAUUUGGUGAUAAGUGGUUCCUCUCAUGUGGUAGAAUUCAGGUUCUUNCUUAUAUAGAGUAGUAUCAUUGCCUUCUAUAGAGUAGGAUUAUAUAGUAUGUAAUCCUAGUUAUACUCUUACUAUAGUAGUCAUUGUUACUAUAGUAAGACAAUCUCUUGUACUAUAUAUAUUCAUUAAUACAACUAAAGAGGGUAUGCACUUUAGCCCUUCUUUCAGUAGGAGAAGAAGAAGAUCAUGAUGACGAAGAUGGAGGUGUAGACUUCUUAUUGCUGUCGCCUGCUAUGCUAUUGAUAAUCUGUUGCUGUUAUGCUGGCUGCUGUCAGCACUACGCAGGAAGAAGGGCAGGGAGAGAGUGAGGAGAGGGAAGAGGACGAAGAGAGAGUGAGGAGGGGGAAGAGAAGGAGAAGAAUGGAAGAAGAAGGAUAAGAAAUGAAGAGAAUUUGGGGUUUCAGCUGGUUUUUGCUACCU